GAUGAAGAACGCAGCGAAAUGCGAUAAUUAAUGUGAAUUGCAGAAUUCCGUGAAUCAUCGAGUCUUUGAACGCACAUUGCGCCCUCUGGUAUUCCGGAGGGCAUGCCUGUCCGAGCGUCAUUGCUGCCCUCAAGCACGGCUUGUGUGUUGGGCCCCGCCCCCCGAUCCCGGGGGGCGGGCCCGAAAGGCAGCGGCGGCACCGCGUCCGGUCCUCGAGCGUAUGGGGCUUUGUCACCCGCUCUGUAGGCCCGGCCGGCGCCUGCCGAUCAACCAAACUUUUUUCCAGGUUGACCUCGGAUCAGGUAGGGAUACCCGCUGAACUUAAGCAUAUCAAUAAGCGGAGGA
RNAcentral lists this unclassified non-coding RNA (345 nucleotides) under soil metagenome. RNAcentral describes it as "partial contains 5.8S ribosomal RNA, internal transcribed spacer 2, and large subunit ribosomal RNA". The stretch from base 1 to 120 matches the Rfam family "5.8S ribosomal RNA", at positions 35 to 154 of the family's 154-position model. The record is from RNAcentral.